Molecule: ribosomal RNA, 1032 nt
Filed under: NC10 bacterium enrichment culture clone Enr-Ra8
Lineage: Bacteria; Methylomirabilota (SeqCode)
Description: bacterial SSU rRNA
Rfam family: Bacterial small subunit ribosomal RNA
Source: RNAcentral
ACGAACGCUGGCGGCGUGCCUAACACAUGCAAGUCGAGCGAGAAAGUCCCGGCAACGGGAUGAGUAAAGCGGCGAACGGGUGAGUAACGCGUAGGUAAUCUAUCCUUCGGAUUGGGAUAACCUGCUGAAAGGUGGGCUAAUACCGAAUAAUGUUCUUGUGGGAAUCUCACGGGGACCAAAGGGGGCGAGCGUAAGCAGCUCUCACCAAAGGAGGAGCCUGCGUCCGAUUAGCUAGUUGGUGGGGUAACGGCCUACCAAGGCGACGAUCGGUAGCCGGCCUGAGAGGGCGACCGGCCACACUGGAACUGAGACACGGUCCAGACUCCUACGGGAGGCAGCAGUGGGGAAUAUUGCGCAAUGGGCGAAAGCCUGACGCAGCGACGCCGCGUGGGUGAUGAAGGCCUUCGGGUCGUAAAGCCCUGUCAGGUGGAACGAAUGACUUGGCGGCGAAUAACCGCCGGGUGUGACGGUACCACCGAAGGAAGCCCCGGCUAACUACGUGCCAGCAGCCGCGGUAAGACGUAGGGGGCGAGCGUUGUUCGGAUUUACUGGGCGUAAAGCGCGCGUAGGCGGCUAGAUAAGUCGGGUGUGAAAGCCCUCGGCUCAACCGAGGUCCCGCAUCCGAUACUGCCUGGCUGGAGUCUAGGAGAGGAAAGCGGAAUUCCCAGUGUAGCGGUGAAAUGCGUAGAUAUUGGGAGGAACACCGGUGGCGAAGGCGGCUUUCCGGACUAGUACUGACGCUGAGGCGCGAAAGCUAGGGGAGCGAACGGGAUUAGAUACCCCGGUAGUCCUAGCCGUAAACGAUGGGCACUAGGUGUGGGAGGUAUUGACCCCUUCCGCGCCGAAGCUAACGCAUUAAGUGCCCCGCCUGGGGAGUACGGCCGCAAGGCUAAAACUCAAAGGAAUUGACGGGGGCCCGCACAGGCGGUGGAGCAUGUGGUUUAAUUCGACGCAACGCGAAGAACCUUACCAGAGCUUGACAUCCCACGAACCUGCCUGAAAGGGCAGGGUGCCCGCAAGGGAGCGUGGAGA